Orcinus orca (killer whale) is the source of this 2133-nucleotide long non-coding RNA. RefSeq lists it as uncharacterized. The record is from RefSeq and is a predicted model, not a curated record. The transcript is spliced from 3 exons. NCBI's taxonomy places the organism in Eukaryota, Metazoa, Chordata, Mammalia, Artiodactyla, Delphinidae.
CAGACCGGGAAGUCUCGCUCCAGGGCUUUGCGUAGGUGUUAACCUCUGCCCCUGCGCCUCCGACCACCAGGGCCCCCCACAGACCAGGUGUUCUCGGAUCUUGGGGCCAGAUGGCCCACCCAAGCCACCAGCUCUUCUCCUUGGCAGGAAAUUCCCUAGGCACUACCUGGUAUUUGCCAUCCUGCUGGUCAGAGAGGACCAAGUCCAGUUUGGGGACAGCACAGAGGGGCCAUCAGGAAGCUGGUUGCCUUGGGACCAUCUGGAGCUCCUCAGAUCACUUGGAGGACUUAGGAAUACCUGGAGCCCCCAGGGGACACCUGGAGCCUCACAAGGACCAUCUGGAGCCCCUGGCGACCAUCCGGGGCCCCCUGAGACAAACCGGAGACCUUUAAGGAUCCCUGGGGCCCUCAGAAACACCUGGAACCCCUCAGGACCACCUGGGGCCCUCAAGACCACCUGGAACACCUUGUGACCACCUGGAGCCCUCUGGGACCACGAAGAGCCCCUUGGAGACCCCGCGAGGAGGGGGAGGUGACUGAAAGGAAUGGGCGGUGGGGGGUCCAUAGUGCAGCCACCCUCUGUUGCCAGCUGGGCCUCCCAGAAGGAUCAUUCAGAGAGAGCUCGUCUGUAGAAACAUUGCAGUGGCUCUUGGGGAGGUGAGCCCACCCUCUUUCCUAGAUGCCAAGCACCUGGACUAGCUGCUCACAGGGGCUUGGGUUCUAGGGCCCUGUCAGACCCCAGGAGGUGGGGAGGCCCUUUGAGCAUCUGGGGUAUGAGGGCUAGAGCCCCCCAAGGCCUGGGCUCUGAGGUUUAGGGUAAGCAGGGACUUCAGGGGCUGAUCCUGCCCCUUCCAUGUGCACAGUGGUCCGCUGUCCCCUUGGAGGGUGGUGACGGAUGGGCACAGGUGUACGGCGGACCCACCUGGGUCCAAAUGCCCCUCUGCUGAUUUCCUGGGGCAUGGCAGCCCCUUUGGGUCUUGUGUGCUGGUUUCUGCAACGGGACCAGACAUCUGAGGAGGAAUUGGCUGUAUGUCCUGGAGACCUGGGGACCUCAGAGGAGGCAGGAGAGCACUGGGCCUUUAUGAUCUCAGACAGCCUCUGUCUCUCUCUGAGCCUCGAUUUCCCCAUCUGUUAAAAGAAGAUUCCAGACCCAAAGUGCUCUGGGGCUGCAUGGCAAGAACAAAGUCUCUGAGCUUUCACCCAAGCUGUUGGCAAAUAUUAACUGAGCACAUACUCUGUGCCAGGCACUAUUGUAGGUACUUCAUUCUGCUCUCAGAACUUCUGUUCUAGAUGAGGAGACAAAGGUUAAACAAGAGAGCAAAUACCCCAACAAAAAGUAGAAAGACUGGGGCAAGGGCUCGUUGUUGAGGUUCACGGAGCAGACUCUUGCAAAGUCCUGCAGGAAGAAACCCCAGACAGACAGAACAGCAUGUGCAAAGUCCCUGAGAUGGGAAGGAGACUGGUGUGUUCUGAAGGUCCAGUGGCUGGAGCCUGGUGACCUGGGGUGGGAAAGGAGCAGUGCGGGGGCGCCGGACAGGAGAAAAUGAGGCUGGAAGUGUGACAGGGCCAGAGGCUACAGGGCCUGAGUCCAACCCCUGAGUCCCAGAAAUCCAAGUGGCCGGCACACAGGAGGUAUGCCAGCAGUGCCUGCUGCAUGAAGAAAUGGACAAAGAGUGAAUGAGUGACUCCUGGCUGGGUCCCUAACUCACUGUGUGACCUUGGGCAAGUGUAUUUCCCUCCCUGGGGCUUAGUUUCACUGCUACUAAGACACCCUGAGUUGUCAUUAUUUUCAGCGAAUGGCUGGGCUGGGUGCCUGGCUGCAGCAGACCCUUGUGUAUGUUGGCUCCUUCCUCUUCCCAGGACUGUGAGGGACACGGCCAGCAUCCCCCCUGGGCCUAGUGGGGAAUGUGUGUUCCCCAGGCUGAAGAGGAGCAGCCCCUGGGGGCACAGAAGACCCUCAGCUCAGGCCUUUGACUCCUGUGACAGUUGGGUACUUCAGACCCUUUUCCUGCCCCGUCUGGCAUUCUUUAGAACCCCAGAGGCCCCAGGGCCCACCUCCUGCUCCGCCCACUGGCCUCCCUUCUCCCUCUGUUCAAGGGAUGGCCUCCUGUCCUGCAGGGUUGGGGGCUGGACU